This 835-nucleotide long non-coding RNA is filed under the name Homo sapiens (human). RNAcentral's name for it is "HSALNT0234151". The record is from RNAcentral. Lineage: Eukaryota; Metazoa; Chordata; Mammalia; Primates; Hominidae.
UCAUUCUUGGAAACCAUCUCUAUCUGAAUCACAAGACCAUAGUAGUUCUGAUAGCACCUAGCUCAAGGUGGGGAUGGGGUGGCCCCUGUACCUUGGAAGAAGUGAGGGAGAAUUUGUCUCCCUCUUCAGCCCACUGUCCACUUUUACUCAGGACUCAGAAUAGUUUUCCCUGUCAGCUUCUGAAUUCGAUUGUUAUCAGGAGAGAGAGAUAAUCAAUUGAGUACCUUCCAUACCCUGGGUGCCACACACUGACUUUUGUAUCUGUUGUUUUGUUUAGUUUUUACAAUCAAGCAGUUGGUUGGAGAAUAUUAUGAUCCUCCUUUUACAGACAAGGAAACUGAAUUUCAAAGAGGUUAAGUAACUUUUCCAAAUCCAUUCCUAGUCUCAGCUAAUAAAUGGCAACUGCUGGGAGUGGAGUAUGGAGUCGUCUCAUUUGAAAAACUGUGAUCUUCACACUUGGUUUUCUCAUACACUUUGGUCACAGGAUCCUUUCAUGCUCUUAAAAGUGAUUGAGCUGUAACCACUAAUGAGUUAUCAGAUUUAUGAUCACCAUUCUUGUCAACUUCCCCAGUCAGACAUCUUGUGCCUUCUCAUGCUAGGACACACCACCACCGAGAAAGCACCCUUGCAAGUAUUAUCCCACCUGGGUAUAAUCGUGCCUGUAAAUGAAACUUGUAAUGUCCAGGAAAUACAGAGGGCAGAGAAAUACGUUAAACAAAACUCCAUCAACGCAAUUAGUCAAACCUAGAAUGUAGAAAACCACACAAACUAUUUCAGCUUUAGGUUUUAUAACCAAAUGAAUUUCAAAGAAAAAAAAUAUCAGUGGGAUGGGAUU